AGCUUCGGCUCAACCGAAGAAGUGCAUUGGAAACUGGGAGACUUGAGUGCAGAAGAGGACAGUGGAACUCCAUGUGUAGCGGUGAAAUGCGUAGAUAUAUGGAAGAACACCAGUGGCGAAGGCGGCUGUCUGGUCUGCAACUGACGCUGAGGCUCGAAAGCAUGGGUAGCGAACAGGAUUAGAUACCCUGGUAGUCCAUGCCGUAAACGAUGAUUACUAAGUGUUGGAGGGUUUCCGCCCUUCAGUGCUGCAGCUAACGCAUUAAGUAAUCCGCCUGGGGAGUACGACCGCAAGGUUGAAACUCAAAAGAAUUGACGGGGGCCCGCACAAGCGGUGGAGCAUGUGGUUUAAUUCGAAGCUACGCGAAGAACCUUACCAGGUCUUGACAUCUUCUGACAGUCUAAGAGAUUAGAGGUUCCCUUCGGGGACAGAAUGACAGGUGGUGCAUGGUUGUCGUCAGCUCGUGUCGUGAGAUGUUGGGUUAAGUCCCGCAACGAGCGCAACCCUUAUUACUAGUUGCCAGCAUUAAGUUGGGCACUCUAGUGAGACUGCCGGUGACAAACCGGAGGAAGGUGGGGACGACGUCAAAUCAUCAUGCCCCUUAUGACCUGGGCUACACACGUGCUACAAUGGAUGGUACAACGAGUCGCGAGACCGCGAGGUUAAGCUAAUCUCUUAAAACCAUUCUCAGUUCGGACUGUAGGCUGCAACUCGCCUACACGAAGUCGGAAUCGCUAGUAAUCGCGGAUCAGCAUGCCGCGGUGAAUACGUUCCCGGGCCUUGUACACACCGCCCGUCACACCAUGAGAGUUUGUAACACCCAAAGCCGGUGGGGUAACCUUUUAGGAGCUAGCCGUCUAAGGUGGGACAG
Molecule: ribosomal RNA, 871 nt
Filed under: Pediococcus pentosaceus
Lineage: Bacteria; Bacillati; Bacillota; Bacilli; Lactobacillales; Lactobacillaceae
Description: bacterial SSU rRNA
Rfam family: Bacterial small subunit ribosomal RNA
Source: RNAcentral